This 1284-nucleotide ribosomal RNA is filed under the name metagenome. RNAcentral describes it as "bacterial LSU rRNA". It matches the Rfam family "Bacterial large subunit ribosomal RNA", at positions 1606 to 2911 of the family's 2925-position model. The record is from RNAcentral.
CUCCGAGAAAAUCUUCUAAGCAUAUUGAUACGGUACCCGUACCGCAAACCGACACAGGUAGUCAAGGAGAGAAUCCUGAGGUGCUCGAGUGAGUCAUGGCUAAGGAACUAGGCAAAUUAAACCUGUGACUUCGGGAAAAGGGUUGCCUCUCUUUAGCAAUAAAGAAGGUCGCAGAGAAAUGGCCCAGGCGACUGUUUAACAAAAACACAUGGCUAUGCGAAAUCGUAAGAUGAAGUAUAUGGCCUGACACCUGCCCGGUGCUGGAAGGUUAAGGGGGGAAGUUAGUCGCAAGGCGAAGCUUUGAACUGAAGCCCCAGUAAACGGCGGCCGUAGCUAUAACGGUCCUAAGGUAGCGAAAUUCCUUGUCGGGUAAGUUCCGACCUGCACGAAUGGUGUAACGAUCUGGGCACUGUCUCAGCCAUGAGCUCGGUGAAAUUGUAGUCACGGUGAAGAUGCCGUGUACCCGUCACGGGACGGAAAGACCCCAUGCACCUUUACUAUAGCUUCGCAUUGACAUUGGGUAGAUGAUGUGUAGGAUAGGUGGGAGGCGUUGAUCCUGUGCCGCUAGGUAUAGGGGAGCCAACGGUGAAAUACCACCCUUUAUUUAUCUGAUGUCUAAUCCGCAAGACCUGCGGAGACAGUGCGUGGUGGGUAGUUUGACUGGGGUGGUCGCCUCCGAAAGUGUAUCGGAGGCUUUCAAAGGUAUGCUCAAUACGCUUGGUAACCGUAUGUGGAGUGCAAUAGCAUAAGCAUGCUUGACUGUGAGACUGACAAGUCGAGCAGGGUCGAAAGACGGAUAUAGUGAUCCGGUGGUUCUGUAUGGAAGGGCCAUCGCUCAAAGGAUAAAAGGUACGCUGGGAUAACAGGCUGAUCUCCCCCAAGAGCUCACAUCGACGGGGAGGUUUGGCACCUCGAUGUCGGCUCGUCACAUCCUGGGGCUGGAGAAGGUCCCAAGGGUUAGGCUGUUCGCCUAUUAAAGUGGCACGCGAGCUGGGUUCAGAACGUCGUGAGACAGUUCGGUCCCUAUCUGUGGUGGGCGUAGGAAGUUUGAGAGGAUCUGACCUUAGUACGAGAGGACCGGGUUGGACCAACCGCUGGUGUACCGGUUGUGGCGUCAGCUGCAUCGCCGGGUAGCUACGUUGGGACGAGAUAAGCGCUGAAAGCAUCUAAGCGCGAAACUCACCUCAAGAUGAGACUUCCAUUAAGGGACGUCAGAGACUAUGACGUUGAUAGGCUGCAGGUGUAAAGGCAGAAAUGUCAAAGCUGAGCAGUACUAAUUACCCA